Molecule: ribosomal RNA, 253 nt
Filed under: uncultured bacterium
Lineage: Bacteria
Description: partial 16S ribosomal RNA
Rfam family: Bacterial small subunit ribosomal RNA
Source: RNAcentral
GACAGAGGGUGCAAACGUUGUUCGGAAUUACUGGGCGUAAAGCGCGUGUAGGCUGCUUGGCAAGUCGGAUGUGAAAGCCCUGGGCUCAACCUAGGAAGUGCAUUCGAAACUGCCAAGCUAGAGUACUGGAGAGGGUGGCGGAAUUCUCGGUGUAGAGGUGAAAUUCGUAGAUAUCGGGAGGAACACCAGUGGCGAAGGCGACUACCUGGCCUGUUCUUGACGCUGAGGCGCGAAAGCUAGGGGAGCAAACGGG